Molecule: long non-coding RNA, 2578 nt
Organism: Peromyscus eremicus (cactus mouse)
Lineage: Eukaryota; Metazoa; Chordata; Mammalia; Rodentia; Cricetidae
Exons: 3
Source: RefSeq, a predicted model, not a curated record
UGAGAGACACGAAAUUGUGCCGGGAUGAGAGUACAGAGGUUCGGGAACAGGAAGCUGAAUCAGGAAUACCUGUUGCAACAGAGUCCCAAGACAAUUUUCAGGGAAUUGACUCAUAGUACACAAAGAAAUCAAGGCUGAGUGUGAACGGGCCCGACACAGUCUCGAAAGCUAGGAAUAGAUGUCAAGAUCGAGUGUGUGUGUUCUCCCCAGGGGAGCUAGGGCUGCUCAGGGGAACUAGAAGAGGUGGAUCCAAGACCUUGGCGGGACUUAACCACUACCUGCCCAGAUAACUGCUGACAGGACCUGCUCCCCUCUACCACCUGGCUUUUCACCCUUCAUCAUGUAAAAACCUUCUUAGGUGCAGUAUCGCAAACCUAAGGCAUUGGUAUUUGAGCAAAAAAGAGAUGUUCCAGGAAGGGAAGCAAGCACUGGAGCAGUAUAAGAGGGAGAGAGGAUACUGUAAAGAUUAAGCCUCUGAUCUGUUGAUUUACACUCAUGCCAUGUCCUUUUAUCAGAGAUCAAGUGCCUUGGCAUAUCUCAACUUCAAUAUUAUUUUGUACAUAACUAGGAAUAGCUAUGUUUAAAAUUGCUUAGAAAGAUUAAUGAGAUUAAAAUAAAUGUAUACACACACCUACCAGUGUAUAUAUGUGUUGUUUUAAAUCAACUACUUGACAAGCAGUGAGUGUACCAGAGCUAUUACAUGUGUACUGCUGCAGAAAGAUUCCAACUCUGUUGCUAGGCAUCUGGGGUAGGUAAAACAAAGUUAUUCCUAGGGUCCCAGGCUCUGCACAUUAAUCUCAAUAAACAAACUGGAGUCUCAAUCUGCAAUUCAACGGAGAACUCGAUUCUGUAUGUAAAACUGGUAACUACCUUGGUUUGUUUCCUUGGUCAAACAUGUACUCAGGGAAGCACAGGAGAACAGAGCUGUGAUUUACCAUGCCUUUUCUCAUAAAGAAGCCAAAGAGCAUGAUGUACAGGGUAUUACAGUCCUGUGGAUGAGAGUGAGUAGUGCCUGAGAUGCACUUCACGCUUUCUGCCUCAAGGAGGACUGGAGCAGACCUCUCCAACAGCAGCUACAUGGAGGCCACAAGGCUGAAAAGCAAGGAAAGAAGAUUGUGGUGCUCAGUAUCAGAUUUCCUCCUCCUUGACCUGCCUGGAACCACCAGGCAAUUUCCCCUAGUUCUGGAAUGGCUCAUUUCCCUAACAACCCCAGCUCCCUUCCACUUCAAGCUAGUCUUGUGGUCAUGACUUAUUAAAUAACCUGUAUCAUCCAUUUCUCAAGCUUGCUUCCCUACAAGGAUUAGAGAAGCCUUGCAUUACAAAGGAUUUUGAAUGCUCAAUAGAGUUACCUCAGAGAACAGGACAGGAAGUCAGUGUUUGACCUGGCUACAGUGUAGGACAGUGUCACAGUUAGCAUGUGAGUGUUACUUUCAUAUCUUGGCAGUUGUGUAUAGAAAACACUUGGAAGACAAGGGAUUUGUAACCUAGAUCAGCAAAAAUGGUGGCUCUCAGGAACGGGGUAUGAGGGCCCUGGAGUCAGAGAACAGAACAGUAAACCACACCACCAUGUUUCCGAGCAGGAGCUGGGAAGCCAGUGGGCUGAGGCCUUUGUGAGGGCCUUCCUGAAGCAGAGCAUCCCUCACUGGAGCCAGCAAGACUGUGAGAGCCAUCUGCAACACAAGGCUGUGGUCUUGGAGUUCUUGUUUCAAGUUUGAGCCUGGUGUUCUUGACUCUCUGACCCUGGCUUUGUGUGAACAGGCACCAAGACAAAUGGUAAUAGUCCCAGGGAAAAUCUUUUGGUACUCUCCCUUCACUUUCUGGACAAUCCCACUACUUUACAUGAGGACCUGCUUUGCAAGUCUGCUAAACUUAUUCCUGAUAAUUCAGAAUUAACUUUAUUAUUUGUACAACCACAAUAGGCAAUCCAAGAAAGGACUUGCCCACUUUAUAUUACCCACUCAUACUGGGUUGCCUGGACCAUUAGCAAAAGGAAAUGAAGAAAUUGAUCAAUUACUGGUAGGAAAUGUAUUGGAAGCCUCAGAAUUUCACAAGAAACAUCAUGUUAACAGUCGGAGCUUAAAGAAAUGUAGAUGAAUUUCUAAAUGGUCUUAUUAAAUAAAACACAAAGCCAGAUAUAGGGGUGAAAGCCCGGGAGAGAUCAGGGAAAUAGGAAAAGUCACUGCUAACCUUACUCACCAACUUGACAGCUUCCAAAUGCGAGUUACUUCCUGUCUACCCACACCUUGCUGUUCUGCCAUCUGAUUUGCUCUCUCCAUUCAACUACAUCAUUUUCUCAUCCUACCCAGCUCUGUCAACUUCCUCUCUGUCUGUACAGGCCUCCACAGUUAUCUAGUUUUAGAAUUUAUGGCGUGUGCCACUACACCUGGCUCUGUUUCCAGUAUGGCCUUGAACACACAAAGAUCCUGCCUACCAAGUGAUAGGAUUAAAGGCAUUGUCUGACUUCUUUGUUACUUAAAAUGGCUUGCUAUUUCAUCUGAUCUCCAGGGAAGCUUUAUUUAUUAAAGCACAAAUAAAAUAUCACCAUAUUUCAGCACAAAUAAAAUAUCACCUCAAAGAA